RNAcentral lists this transfer RNA (67 nucleotides) under uncultured Eubacterium sp. It matches the Rfam family "tRNA", at positions 5 to 66 of the family's 71-position model. Rfam says of the family: Transfer RNA (tRNA) molecules are approximately 80 nucleotides in length. Their secondary structure includes four short double-helical elements and three loops (D, anti-codon, and T loops). Lineage: Bacteria; Bacillati; Bacillota; Clostridia; Eubacteriales; Eubacteriaceae. The record is from RNAcentral.
AGUUGUAGCUCAGUAGGAUAGAGCGACCGCCUCCUAAGCGGUAGGUCGGAGGUUCGAAUCCCCUCAA